Molecule: ribosomal RNA, 446 nt
Filed under: uncultured Arthrobacter sp.
Lineage: Bacteria; Bacillati; Actinomycetota; Actinomycetes; Micrococcales; Micrococcaceae
Description: bacterial SSU rRNA
Rfam family: Bacterial small subunit ribosomal RNA
Source: RNAcentral
ACUCCUACGGGAGGCAGCAGUGGGGAAUAUUGCACAAUGGGCGCAAGCCUGAUGCAGCGACGCCGCGUGAGGGAUGACGGCCUUCGGGUUGUAAACCUCUUUCAGUAGGGAAGAAGCGAAAGUGACGGUACCUGCAGAAGAAGCGCCGGCUAACUACGUGCCAGCAGCCGCGGUAAUACGUAGGGCGCAAGCGUUAUCCGGAAUUAUUGGGCGUAAAGAGCUCGUAGGCGGUUUGUCGCGUCUGCCGUGAAAGUCCGGGGCUCAACUCCGGAUCUGCGGUGGGUACGGGCAGACUAGAGUGAUGUAGGGGAGACUGGAAUUCCUGGUGUAGCGGUGAAAUGCGCAGAUAUCAGGAGGAACACCGAUGGCGAAGGCAGGUCUCUGGGCAUUAACUGACGCUGAGGAGCGAAAGCAUGGGGAGCGAACAGGAUUAGAUACCCUGGUAG